AGUGAACGCUGGCGGUAGGCCUAACACAUGCAAGUCGAACGGCAGCACAGAGGAGCUUGCUCCUUGGGUGGCGAGUGGCGGACGGGUGAGGAAUACAUCGGAAUCUACUCUGUCGUGGGGGAUAACGUAGGGAAACUUACGCUAAUACCGCAUACGACCUACGGGUGAAAGCAGGGGAUCUUCGGACCUUGCGCGAUUGAAUGAGCCGAUGUCGGAUUAGCUAGUUGGCGGGGUAAAGGCCCACCAAGGCGACGAUCCGUAGCUGGUCUGAGAGGAUGAUCAGCCACACUGGAACUGAGACACGGUCCAGACUCCUACGGGAGGCAGCUGUGGGGAAUAUUGGACAAUGGGCGCAAGCCUGAUCCAGCCAUACCGCGUGGGUGAAGAAGGCCCUCGGGUUGUAAAGCCCUUUUGUUGGGAAAGAAAUCCAUCUGGUUAAUACCCGGGUGGGAUGACGGUACCCAAAGAAUAAGCACCGGCUAACUUCGUGCCAGCCGCCGCAGUAA
RNAcentral lists this ribosomal RNA (506 nucleotides) under uncultured bacterium. Its description in RNAcentral is "partial 16S ribosomal RNA". It matches the Rfam family "Bacterial small subunit ribosomal RNA", at positions 29 to 523 of the family's 1533-position model. The record is from RNAcentral.